RNAcentral lists this ribosomal RNA (253 nucleotides) under uncultured bacterium. Its description in RNAcentral is "partial 16S ribosomal RNA". It matches the Rfam family "Bacterial small subunit ribosomal RNA", at positions 524 to 776 of the family's 1533-position model. The record is from RNAcentral.
UACGUAGGGUGCGAGCGUUGUCCGGAAUUACUGGGCGUAAAGAGCUCGUAGGUGGUUUGUCGCGUUGUCCGUGAAAACUCACAACUCAAUUGUGAGCGUGCGGGCGAUACGGGCAGACUAGAGUACUGCAGGGGAGACUGGAAUUCCUGGUGUAGCGGUGGAAUGCGCAGAUAUCAGGAGGAACACCGGUGGCGAAGGCGGGUCUCUGGGCAGUAACUGACGCUGAGGAGCGAAAGCGUGGGGAGCGAACAGG